GCGACCCCAGGAUGGGCGGGAUG
RNAcentral lists this ribosomal RNA (23 nucleotides) under Calochilus robertsonii. RNAcentral's name for it is "partial 25S ribosomal RNA". The record is from RNAcentral. Lineage: Eukaryota; Viridiplantae; Streptophyta; Magnoliopsida; Asparagales; Orchidaceae. RNAcentral also lists the same sequence under 16 other names.